GGGCAUUCCUUUCAAUAAACAGCGUCGCUGAUACUGUAUACGGCCUUUCAUUAUCAUAAGAGUUACAAUGGAGCCAUCUGCUUAAUGUAAGACAGUUGAUUUACUGACACUGAAAGUCGAAUAGGAAGAGAGUAUUUAGUCAACUAGCAACAAAUCUCGUUAUCGCUUAUGUGUGCCUGUCUCAGGGUAUAAAUUCUUCCCUUAGUUACGUAUCUCGUAGUGUGCUGGCAGCUUCGAUUUAUAAAGUUUGAUCUACCGUAAUAUCUCGGAUCCUUCAGGGCCACCAUAUUGAUAAAACGACAAUGAGGACUGGCGUUCUUUUCUACGUCACCAUUGUUUGCUGCAUUUCAGCAUCCGUUGUGUGCGCCAGAAAUUCUCAGUUUAAACAUUUGCCCGUUUUCCCGGGAUUCCUGAAUCGACCUCUGUCCACCUCACCUCACUUUGAUCUGCAAAACCUGUACGGAACAGUCGACAAGAGGUUCAACAUGGAUAAUAGGGCAUUCGGCGAAGACGACAGAUUCAAUCAUUUCAUGGACUGGAGAACUCUGUUCGGAAAGAGAAGUUUCGGAGGCCCGGAUAAAAUUGGAUUCCAUAACAUGGAAAGUCCAUUUAAGAGUUAUUACCAAAAUUGGCGGGAACGAUUCUUUCCCAAGAAGAAGGGUGCCAACAAAUAAGCGUCAUUUCCUGUCAACUAACGUCUGUCACCACUAGAAACGAUUUACUUAUUUAUUAGGAACACUCUAUUUCCUCUGUUACACCAUUUCUGUCCAUUCCGUCAGUCAUCAUUCCAAGGAAGUGUCCAAGUACGAUACGUACAUCUUGCAGAUCGUGAUUUCAUUAUUUCGAUGUCCAUUAUUUUACCCGAAAGAAAUGUCAUGAUUGAUUUUAAUUUUCAGAUUGUUUUCACCGAAUGGUUUCGGAGGGUUUCAAUAAAAUUCUGCUUCAAUGCAUCAAAUUGAAAACCAAAAGAGAAUUUUAUCAUUUUAGAAGUGAAAAAAAUAAUCUUCCACCUCUGUCAACAGUAAUGUUUUGGUGCAUCAUACCAUUUUUCGUAUUUCUUUUACACGCUAAAUGCAUGCUCUAUAUAUCUUAAGGAAACAACUAAGUGCACACAUUUUUGAUCACAUUAAAAAAAAAACUCACUUAAACCUUCUCUUUUUGUUGUGUCUAGUCUUAGAAGUUGAUUUCCUUUUUUUUUCUUCAUCAUAAGUGAAACUUGAUUUUAAUUUCCUUUUCGGGGAAUAAAUUCUACUCUUUUAUA
Molecule: long non-coding RNA, 1261 nt
Organism: Magallana angulata
Lineage: Eukaryota; Metazoa; Mollusca; Bivalvia; Ostreida; Ostreidae
Exons: 2
Source: RefSeq, a predicted model, not a curated record